AUAGGCGAGCCCGGCAGCGCUGGGUGACCCAGUCAGGAGUCAGCAGCAGCACCCGGCCCCUUCCUGCCCACCCAGGAGGAACAGGCUGACGUAUAAAACACAGACAAAGGGCUGCACUUCAACCUCAAUAUUUCUGCUACACAUCUCUUACACGUGGGAAAAUCACUGUGCUCUGCCUCCUUCAGACAUCCAGUAAGAGCUUGGAAGAUGGGUAUUGCUCUUCAAGGAGGCUGCAGACCGACUGGAAAGGGUCCAGAUUGCAGACCUAAAAGCUAAAUGGAUUUCCACCUACUCUGCAACCCCGGGGGAAAAGGAAGUUGAAUUUCUGGCUGGAGACAGCAGCUCACAGUGACCAGUCCCAAGGGAAAAGAUGAUAUCAGUGUUUCUGAGUUUCCAGUUAAUUGUGUUUACUGAAGAAUACAUAGCAUUAGAGUGCCUUGAGCUUUGGCCGAGUCUGUAAAAGUAAA
Long non-coding RNA from Parus major (Great Tit), 467 nucleotides. RefSeq lists it as uncharacterized. The record is from RefSeq and is a predicted model, not a curated record. NCBI's taxonomy places the organism in Eukaryota, Metazoa, Chordata, Aves, Passeriformes, Paridae. The transcript is spliced from 3 exons.